AGUGAACGUUGGCGGCGUGGAUUAGGCAUGCAAGUCGAGCGAGAACCGUAGCAAUACGGGGACAGCGGCGAAAGGGACAGUAAUGUGUAGGUACCUACCUCCGGGUUCGGGAUAGCUGCGGGAAACUGCAGGUAAUACCGAAUAACGUCUCCGGACCAAAGGUGUGAUUCCACCUGGAGAGGGGCCUGCAUCCUAUUAGCUUGUUGGCGGGGUAACGGCCCACCAAGGCGACGAUGGGUAGCGGGUGUGAGAGCACGACCCGCGUCAUUGGGACUGAGACACUGCCCAGACACCUACGGGUGGCUGCAGUCGUGAAUCUUCGGCAAUGGGCGCAAGCCUGACCGAGCGACGCCGCGUGCGGGAUGAAGGCCUUCGGGUUGUAAACCGCUGUCGUAGAGGAGGAAAUGCAGGGGGGUUCUCCCCUCUGUUUGACCUAUUCUAGGAGGAAGUACGGGCUAAGUUCGUGCCAGCCGCCGCCGUAA
Molecule: ribosomal RNA, 482 nt
Filed under: uncultured bacterium
Lineage: Bacteria
Description: partial 16S ribosomal RNA
Rfam family: Bacterial small subunit ribosomal RNA
Source: RNAcentral